This 465-nucleotide ribosomal RNA is filed under the name Vreelandella stevensii. RNAcentral describes it as "partial 16S ribosomal RNA". It matches the Rfam family "Bacterial small subunit ribosomal RNA", at positions 338 to 795 of the family's 1533-position model. The record is from RNAcentral. Lineage: Bacteria; Pseudomonadati; Pseudomonadota; Gammaproteobacteria; Oceanospirillales; Halomonadaceae.
CCUACGGGGGGCUGCAGUGGGGAAUAUUGGACAAUGGGGGGAACCCUGAUCCAGCCAUGCCGCGUGUGUGAAGAAGGCCCUCGGGUUGUAAAGCACUUUCAGUGAGGAAGAACGCCUGGUGGUUAAUACCCAUCAGGAAAGACAUCACUCACAGAAGAAGCACCGGCUAACUCCGUGCCAGCAGCCGCGGUAAUACGGAGGGUGCGAGCGUUAAUCGGAAUUACUGGGCGUAAAGCGCGCGUAGGUGGCUUGAUAAGCCGGUUGUGAAAGCCCCGGGCUCAACCUGGGAACGGCAUCCGGAACUGUCAAGCUAGAGUGCAGGAGAGGAAGGUAGAAUUCCCGGUGUAGCGGUGAAAUGCGUAGAGAUCGGGAGGAAUACCAGUGGCGAAGGUGGCCUUCUGGACUGACACUGACACUGAGGUGCGAAAGCGUGGGUAGCAAACAGGAUUAGAUACCCCAGUAGUC